UAACCUAUCAUGGUUCUCAAGUUUCCUGAGAAAUUUUGUGGCCAUGGGAGAAAAAUAUUUUAGCAAUCAACUAAUCAGAAAUCUAAGCUUUGGAAUGUUUUGCACUGGGACAUUGGAAAGUGGUGUACAGUAAAUUUGGGAACAUUCUCUCCAUUUGUUGUAAUUAGCUUCUCAUUGACCUUUUGAGAUGUUUGUCAAAUCUGUGUCAGAUCAAAGUUACAUUGUUAACAUAGUUAAUAGUCACUGUUUUUGACCUGGGCUUUGAACAUUGAUACUGUUAGAUUUGGACAAAACAUUUUUUUUUCAUUGUCUAAUUCUUUAUAUAGUCUAAGUCUUGGGAUUGAUAACUUUUUUUCUUUUAAAGCUUAUGGAUGAUAAUUAUUCAUAUAAUUCAUUUAGUUCUGUGCAAGGAGGAGGGCACUCGUAUUACUGGGAUAAA
This is a non-coding RNA of Biomphalaria pfeifferi, 439 nucleotides long. Lineage: Eukaryota; Metazoa; Mollusca; Gastropoda; Planorbidae. The record is from the annotation of a GenBank genome assembly.